CUGGGCGGCAGCAGGAGCCGCCCGGCAAUUAAAGCGGCCACGCCGCCCAUGGGCGGCGUGAGGGUCCGAAGCCCCUAUAAACAGUUGACGGGUUG
RNAcentral lists this non-coding RNA (95 nucleotides) under unclassified sequences. The record is from RNAcentral.